AUGAACCACAAACAUAUCCUGUGCGAAUAUAAGAACAACAGCAUCACGGUUGAAUUUUCACAUUUACUAUAGUGCACUUGUAUAACAGCUGACUUUUUCAUAGAUCUAAAUCAAACAGAUUGCAGAAUCUAAAAGCCCUUACAAAAAUGUUUAAAAAGUUCAAGUUUGGGAGGAAGAAAAAAACAGUCAGGAAAACAGAUGAGCAGUAUCGUCUAGUGAAAGACAUACCAACACAGCACACAGAGACCACAGAUGCAGGAGAACAGGAAAGCACAGUCGACUCUGGGAUGCCAUCUUGUUCAGGUGUUGAAGUGAGUGGCGAGAAAGGGCUUCGUAUUCUCAGAACGAUUCUGAGCAAACAAUCAAACCCUGAGGACGCUGACACUGCAGCUGCAAUGCCACAAAUCAGCUUCUCUCAAGAAUGGCAAAAUAAGUACCGUCAGGAAAUAGAUCAGUUUGUGGAGAACCACUUUCCCACGCUGCCAGCAGAGAGACCUCAAGGAUCUCAGUUAGAGCAGAUACAGGACUUUCUAAAGAGCGCACAGACUAUGAUAUGCAAUGAGGUGCUUCGAUUAACACCUGCACUGAAAGAUGCUGGGCUGCUAGAUCAUCUGAUGGACAGUUACAGCCGUCACAUCUUUACCAACCUGGACCUGCUGCUAAACAGAGAUCUGUCUGUAAAAGAGAUCUUCUGCCUUCUACUGUGGGGAAAAGGUGUUUUCUUCAGUUCCGAAUCAAAACUGAGAGUGGACGAUCCUCUGCUGUUGACAAGAGUGUUUGAGAGAGCAAAGCAGAAACUACUGCAAGUACUUCAGGAUGACAUCUCCACGAAUCUACAGAACAUCCUGCGCUACGAUGAGGAUCAUGGACAAAAUGAGGACUCAAUGGAUGAAGAAACUUUCCUCAAAGUGCACAUAGAUGUCAUUCAGUGCCUGAAUUGUGCUAUUUUAGAAGCUGAAACGGUUGGUCUGACUUUGAUGCACGCCGUACAAAUACUCUGUAGUGAAGAGCUGCAUGAUUUUGUUCAGAAGUAUGUGGAUGCUGAGAAUGAUCGUCUUAAAAAACUAACAGUUAAAGAGAAAAACUCUGUGUAUCUGUUUCGGAUAAUCAACACCUGCAUGCAACUCAGAUGCUAUGCUGCACAAAUCACUCCAGAUGUUAGCAACAGCGAUCAUGACUCAAGCACUAUAUGCAUGCUACAAAAACAGGAAGAUAAAGCUUCAUCCAUUGUACAAAAGAUCAUGAACUGCUCAGCACAGGUCAAAUUAGAAAGUUACUUCAAGAAAAGGAAUGGGCAUAUUGAUAUCCUAAUGGAGGCAAUCCAAAAGCAGUGUGCAUCUCUGCCUGAGACCGCCUCAGAGAUCAAAGCGG
This 1371-nucleotide long non-coding RNA is filed under the name Sinocyclocheilus anshuiensis. Its description in RNAcentral is "lncRNA (ENSSANG00000018206.1)". Lineage: Eukaryota; Metazoa; Chordata; Actinopteri; Cypriniformes; Cyprinidae. The record is from RNAcentral.